Molecule: ribosomal RNA, 667 nt
Filed under: Klebsiella sp. EECC-695
Lineage: Bacteria; Pseudomonadati; Pseudomonadota; Gammaproteobacteria; Enterobacterales; Enterobacteriaceae
Description: bacterial SSU rRNA
Rfam family: Bacterial small subunit ribosomal RNA
Source: RNAcentral
ACGAGCGGCGGACGGGUGAGUAAUGUCUGGGAAACUGCCUGAUGGAGGGGGAUAACUACUGGAAACGGUAGCUAAUACCGCAUAACGUCGCAAGACCAAAGUGGGGGACCUUCGGGCCUCAUGCCAUCAGAUGUGCCCAGAUGGGAUUAGCUAGUAGGUGAGGUAAUGGCUCACCUAGGCGACGAUCCCUAGCUGGUCUGAGAGGAUGACCAGCCACACUGGAACUGAGACACGGUCCAGACUCCUACGGGAGGCAGCAGUGGGGAAUAUUGCACAAUGGGCGCAAGCCUGAUGCAGCCAUGCCGCGUGUAUGAAGAAGGCCUUCGGGUUGUAAAGUACUUUCAGCGAGGAGGAAGGCAUUAAGGUUAAUAACCUUGGUGAUUGACGUUACUCGCAGAAGAAGCACCGGCUAACUCCGUGCCAGCAGCCGCGGUAAUACGGAGGGUGCAAGCGUUAAUCGGAAUUACUGGGCGUAAAGCGCACGCAGGCGGUCUGUCAAGUCGGAUGUGAAAUCCCCGGGCUCAACCUGGGAACUGCAUCCGAAACUGGCAGGCUAGAGUCUUGUAGAGGGGGGUAGAAUUCCAGGUGUAGCGGUGAAAUGCGUAGAGAUCUGGAGGAAUACCGGUGGCGAAGGCGGCCCCCUGGACAAAGACUGACGCUCAGGUGC